This 23-nucleotide non-coding RNA is filed under the name Cricetulus griseus (Chinese hamster). Lineage: Eukaryota; Metazoa; Chordata; Mammalia; Rodentia; Cricetidae. The record is from RNAcentral.
UUCAGCGACAUCAGUGCUUUGAC